RNAcentral lists this ribosomal RNA (114 nucleotides) under Carlito syrichta (Philippine tarsier). Lineage: Eukaryota; Metazoa; Chordata; Mammalia; Primates; Tarsiidae. The record is from RNAcentral.
GCCUUGGGCCAUCCACCUUGGAGGUGCCCGAUCUCCUCUGAUCUCAAAAGCUAAGUGGGAGGGACCUGGUUAGCACUUGGAUGGGAAAUUUUAAAAUAGAUGGAGUUACCCGCC